UCUCGGCAACGGAUAUCUCGGCUCUCGCAUCGAUGAAGAGCGUAGCGAAAUGCGAUACUUGGUGUGAAUUGCAGAAUCCCGUGAACCAUCGAGUCUUUGAACGCAAGUUGCGCCCGAAGCCUUUUGGCCGAGGGCACGUCUGCCUGGGCGUCACGCAUCGUCGC
RNAcentral lists this ribosomal RNA (164 nucleotides) under Debregeasia edulis. Its description in RNAcentral is "5.8S ribosomal RNA". It matches the Rfam family "5.8S ribosomal RNA". From Rfam's summary of the family: 5.8S ribosomal RNA (5.8S rRNA) is a component of the large subunit of the eukaryotic ribosome. It is transcribed by RNA polymerase I as part of the 45S precursor that also contains 18S and 28S rRNA. Functionally, it is thought that 5.8S rRNA may be involved in ribosome translocation. Lineage: Eukaryota; Viridiplantae; Streptophyta; Magnoliopsida; Rosales; Urticaceae. The record is from RNAcentral.